CUCAAAUUAUCCUUUUCAAAUAUCAAAAACAAAAAAUCAAACCCUAAACGGAGCAUGACGAAGAAGGAGAGGAAGAGAAAGUGAGAAAGAAUGGCAAAACGGCUUAGGAUAACCAAAGAGUUCUUCAGGAGGAGGGAUGGAAGUCAAUAAUCAUGGUUUAGAUGGUUUCUUCCUUGUCGAAUCUAAGAUGAAAGUGCAGGGAUUAAAGUGUGGAACUGAAAGCCUAUCUAGAAAUUUGCAGGUGAUAUAUGCUUUGUCGCUGGACAAGUCAAAUUUGGCUAUUUCAAAAUAUCAGGCUGAGUGCAUGGAUGCUAAAGGAUUAAUAGACCCAAACCAUCAAACUCCAGAGAAGGAUCACAAUGAUAUCUAGUGUACUUGCUGGAAGUGGCAAACUGAACUAUGGAGUGAGUGACUUCAAGGAAAAAUGUUAUAGAAGAUCUUCAUGGAUCACCAGCAUGACUUUUAGCAUAUGCAUACAGAAAGAAAUUUCAUGAUAUGCUAAGGAUCUUAGUACUAAAAACAGUUUACACAUACUAAAUCUUACUAGCCGGGGGUAUGUUAUAGCUUAAAUCUUAAGCUGGAUGUGUAUUUAGUUUAUCCACUUAAUCAUGCUAUAUAACAACUAUGCAAUGUUCUAUACAUGUUAUUAGUAGUCUUAUUGGUGACGGUGUGCUUUUAUAUUUUGCUUAUUCUAUCUGAGUAGUCCGUUGGAAAAAAUAUUAACAUAGAUGCAUUGAAGAAAUGUAUUAGUAUAAGACAAUGGUCUCAUAUAUAUUAUGAAAUAAUUGCAAUAACAAUUAUGGAUAGGAUUUCCUAAAGGUGAUAUGUAAACAUAUUCUUUCAUCUUGUAUUUUAAUUGGUAAAAAAGUAAAUUUAUGCUCCUGUUUUUUAUUUCUUUCAUGCAAAGACUAUAUAUAUAUAUAUAUAUAUUGCAUGCAUCGGUAACAAUGGGUUAUAAUGUUUUUUCAAAGGAUAACUCAUGGGCUUGGUUUAUCUUAGGAUUGCAUUUUUCAUCUUGCCAUGGCAUCAUAAGUUACUAUGGAGAUUGGUGGCUCAAAAAAGGAGGUAUAAUAUUAAACAAGAAAUAUAUUUCAAUAAACUUUACACAACUUUAUUAUCAAUUAAAGACGUAAAUAUUUGAAAUAUAUUUCUAUUUCAUUGACAUUUACAUACUUUUUAGUCAUGAUUCUUUCAAGAAAAAAGGUAUAUAUUAAAUCAUAAUUUUAGUUCUUGGGUUGCUGCAAAUACAUAUCAAUGGCAGAAUAUGAUGAUCACAUAUUAGAAAAUUUUAAGGUCUAUUUCAUUUUUCUACAUUAAGCCCACUCAAACUAUCCCACUUGCAAAUUUUGAUGAUCCAAUUGGAAAUUUCUCCAAUAAUCAUCAAGAAGAUUAUAUAUUUUGGAGUUAAUAUUCUUUGCCUUGUGGUAUUGGAUAAGAGUCAGACAUUAUAUUCCAUUUGUUGCUCAAAUUAAUAUUCAUAUGUUUUGUACAUUGAAAAACAUUUAAUAUUUUUGUGGUUAGGUUGAGAUACUAGUUUUGUACAUUUGAAAUUUGACUCCUAACAAAUUCUGCAAAAUGCCUGCACCUCAGUUGAAGAAUUUUGAAGGUCUUUUAUCGACUGCAGUAAACUUUUGUGAGUGGAUUAUUUAAGUUCUGCAUAGAGCAGUUUCAACUUAAAGAAGCUCAAAUAUGAAGAACGGAAGAACCAGUUAAUUGAAGGAUUGACUAAAUUUGGGCAGUGGCAUAAAUUUUCAAAGACUUUUCUUUAGGAACAUGGAUACAACCUUUUUUCUUUGGGGACAUGUUUACAACCUUUCUUUAUCAUAGUGUUGGGAAUACUUGAUUAGGCUGAUAAUGCACAUGCCGCAUAGAGAAACCUAGCUUUCCUUGUGUUCAUGCAAUUGCAGCAUGUAAGCAUCAACAUAUUUCUCAAGGAGAGAAGCAUCAUCAAUAUAGAUGCGGGAGGUACAAACAGAUUGGUCACAGCAGCCGAUCAUGCUCAGCUGCCAUACCUCUUGAUAGCACUACCAACCAACAGCACCAUUCAACUGAAGGACCAUAAAUAGCUCUACGCUAUAUUAAGACAAUGGGGGCAUGUUAUGUGGUAUGCAUGUGUUAUGCAAUGUAGUAAGGAAUGCAAUUAGUAGCUCAACCACGUAACGUGUGUUUUGGCAUAAUUGACGUUGGUUUUAUGUGUUGUUUUGUUGGAAAAGUCAUCUGUCGUAUUUUGUUGAUAAAAUAUCAAUAACCCUAAACAGAAAAAACUCUAAAAGUUCGGAAAAAGUUCUCAAAUUGGCAAAAAUAUUUGGUUACCGUAGGUUUCAU
This is a long non-coding RNA of Ziziphus jujuba (common jujube), 2325 nucleotides long. RefSeq lists it as uncharacterized. The record is from RefSeq and is a predicted model, not a curated record. The transcript has 5 exons. NCBI's taxonomy places the organism in Eukaryota, Viridiplantae, Streptophyta, Magnoliopsida, Rosales, Rhamnaceae.